UAGGGAAUCUUCGGCAAUGGGGGCAACCCUGACCGAGCAACGCCGCGUGAGUGAAGAAGGUUUUCGGAUCGUAAAGCUCUGUUGUAAGAGAAGAACGUGUGUGAGAGUGGAAAGUUCACACAGUGACGGUAACUUACCAGAAAGGGACGGCUAACUACGUGCCAGCAGCCGCGGUAAUACGUAGGUCCCGAGCGUUGUCCGGAUUUAUUGGGCGUAAAGCGAGCGCAGGCGGUUUAAUAAGUCUGAAGUUAAAGGCAGUGGCUUAACCAUUGUUCGCUUUGGAAACUGUUAAACUUGAGUACAGAAGGGGAGAGUGGAAUUCCAUGUGUAGCGGUGAAAUGCGUAGAUAUAUGGAGGAACACCGGUGGCGAAAGCGGCUCUCUGGUCUGUAACUGACGCUGAGGCUCGAAAGCGUGGGGAGCAAACAGG
This 429-nucleotide ribosomal RNA is filed under the name bacterium. Its description in RNAcentral is "partial 16S ribosomal RNA". It matches the Rfam family "Bacterial small subunit ribosomal RNA", at positions 355 to 776 of the family's 1533-position model. The record is from RNAcentral.